Molecule: long non-coding RNA, 466 nt
Organism: Dreissena polymorpha
Lineage: Eukaryota; Metazoa; Mollusca; Bivalvia; Myida; Dreissenidae
Exons: 3
Source: RefSeq, a predicted model, not a curated record
ACCUUACACAAUGCGGGGACAUAUGGAAGCUCCUCAGUCAUCAGUGGACAAGGGUGUCGUGGAGACGAAACAGACAUACUCGAAUGUCCUCCGCCGACAAUUGGGAGAUCAAAUGUGUGCGGUUCAUCUUAUAGUCUUGCAGUGAACUGUGCCCCGAAUUCCACAGUAAGAAUCUUAGAUGGUUCUUCUGUCAAGUCUGGCAGAGUGGAGGUCUUAUAUAACGGAACUUGGCUUGGUAUUUGUCGUCAAGGAAAUCCUUACAACAACUACGACAUUACAGCGACAAGCAUAAAUCUUCUGUGUAAGCAGUUAGGAUUCAAUCAAAGUGGGUAUUUGAUCACGUCAACGUCAAAACGAAGUCAAGCGGUGAUACCUAACCUUGAAUGCAGUGACACUGCAACCGAUGUUUCGGAUUGUAAGUCUGGGAAAUGGGGAUCUGUAUAUUCGUGUACACAGGCGGCCAUUG